This is a non-coding RNA of Lactifluus subvellereus, 101 nucleotides long. Lineage: Eukaryota; Fungi; Basidiomycota; Agaricomycetes; Russulales; Russulaceae. The record is from the annotation of a GenBank genome assembly.
GGGCGGAUGGCACAGUGGUAGCGCGCUUGCUUCGCAAGUUCAUGUCUAUCAGACAUGAGCCAGUUUGCAUGAGGUCGUGGGUUCAAACCCCACUUCGUCCA